AUGAAUCUGCAUCCUUCUCCACGUGGAUUUAACUAUCAUACCAGUUACAGACUAUCAGUUGAGAAGACACUGGAGAGAACCAGCCUGUUUAUUCCUGAAUGUAUAUUUUUGGCUGCGGGAAUUAGUCAUAACAGAGGAAGGGGUAUGUGAUCUGUAUACUUACAAUGAACUUUUCAAGACACAGGCUACAAAAUGCACUGGCUAAGAAAUGACUAGGAACCAAGGGCAGAAUGGGGAUAAAGUGAAUUCCAGCAAAAUGCUGUCCCUUCAAUAAGUCUGACUGGAAGGCCCAAGUGGCCAACUGGAACACCUCCAUGGGAUACAGUAAGUAUGGGGCUUUGGGAAAACACACACACACACACACACACACACACACACACGGCCUACUUUAGCACAGACCCAGCCAUUUGUGAAUCAAGAUUUCUUGGGGGAGAUUUCUGAG
This 442-nucleotide long non-coding RNA is filed under the name Papio anubis (olive baboon). RNAcentral describes it as "lncRNA (ENSPANG00000050519.1)". Lineage: Eukaryota; Metazoa; Chordata; Mammalia; Primates; Cercopithecidae. The record is from RNAcentral.